CAGCACCUCAAGUGGUCAGGAUGAUUAUUGGGCCUAAAGCAUCCGUAGCCGGCGCUGUAAGUUUUCGGUUAAAUCUGUACGCUCAACGUACAGGCUGCCGGGAAUACUGCAGCGCUAGGGAGUGGGAGAGGUAGACGGUACUCGGUAGGAAGGGGUAAAAUCCUUUGAUCUAUUGAUGACCACCUGUGGCGAAGGCGGUCUACCAGAACACGUCCGACGGUGAGGGAUGAAAGCUGGGGAAGCAAACCGGAUUAGAGACCCGAGUAGUCC
This 270-nucleotide ribosomal RNA is filed under the name uncultured archaeon. Its description in RNAcentral is "partial 16S ribosomal RNA". It matches the Rfam family "Archaeal small subunit ribosomal RNA", at positions 477 to 747 of the family's 1478-position model. The record is from RNAcentral.